RNAcentral lists this ribosomal RNA (520 nucleotides) under uncultured bacterium. RNAcentral's name for it is "partial 16S ribosomal RNA". It matches the Rfam family "Bacterial small subunit ribosomal RNA", at positions 28 to 507 of the family's 1533-position model. The record is from RNAcentral.
GACGAACGCUGGCGGCGUGCCUAAUACAUGCUAGUCGAACGCACUCUCGUUUAGAUUGAAGGAGUUUGCUCCUGAUUGAUAAACAUUUGAGUGAGUGGCGGACGGGUGAGUAACACGUGGGUAACCUGCCCUAAAGUGGGGGAUAACAUUUGGAAACAGAUGCUAAUACCGCAUAAAACCUAACACCGCAUGGUGUAGGGUUGAAAGAUGGUUUCGGCUAUCACUUUAGGAUGGACCCGCGGUGCAUUAGUUAGUUGGUGAGGUAAAGGCUCACCAAGACCGUGAUGCAUAGCCGACCUGAGAGGGUAAUCGGCCACACUGGGACUGAGACACGGCCCAGACUCCUACGGGAGGCAGCAGUAGGGAAUCUUCCACAAUGGACGAAAGUCUGAUGGAGCAACGCCGCGUGAGUGAAGAAGGUUUUCGGAUCGUAAAACUCUGUUGUUGGAGAAGAAUGUAUCUGAUAGUAACUGAUCAGGUAGUGACGGUAUCCAACCAGAAAGCCACGGCUAACUACGUG